Molecule: non-coding RNA, 435 nt
Filed under: Pongo abelii (Sumatran orangutan)
Lineage: Eukaryota; Metazoa; Chordata; Mammalia; Primates; Hominidae
Source: RNAcentral
GCAUGCAGGUGAGAAGGGAAGAUACGUGUAAUCUGCACGUCUGCCACCAUUCCUUGUUACUCCUUUUUCGUAUCCCAUGAGCACAGCACUCCAGCGGACCUACCCAAAAUAUAUAGGAGUUCAGUGAAACUCAAACAGCACACUUCUGGUCAGCCUAUACAGUUUCUGUCCUGGUGAGGAGCAUGGUUACCAACAGGCAAGAUCUUCUGGCCUUGAAGUUUCACUUGAGUUAAAAGAGCUCAUCUCAGGACUUUCUGAAUUUUCAGCCCAUAUGACAUGGAAGAAGAGUUAGAAGGGGAAUCUGACUGCUUGGAUCAGGGACUGUCUGGCUGGUGGAACUUGAAUGUAUACAACACUCUUCAUUUGCAUGUUUUGACAUUUUAAAAAAUGUUUUCACUUUCCUUAUCUACUUUGACUCUAAUGACAUCCUAAAAG